CGGACGACGCUGGCGGCGUGGAUUAGGCAUGCAAGUCGAACGGUAUCAUCCUUUCGGGGGUGAGAGAGUGGCGAACUGGUGAGUAACACGUAGGUUAUCUACCCUCAAGACGGGGACAACCCAGGGAAACUUGGGCUAAUACCGGAUGAGAGUGCGAGAGAUUGCAUUUAAAAGGAUGGCGAAAGUUGUCGCUUAGGGAUGAGCCUGCGGUCUAUUAGUUAGUUGGUGAGGUAAGAGCUCACCAAGGCGAUGAUAGAUAGGCGGCCUUAACGGGUGGUCGCCCACACUGGGAUUGAGAUACGGCCCAGACUCCUACGGGAGGCAGCAGUCGAGAAUAGUCUACAAUGGCCGGAAGGCUGAUAGUGCGACGCCGCGUGAACGAGGGAGCCCUUCGGGGUGUAAAGUUCUUUUCUAUACGAGCAGUGCUAUAUAUAUGGAUAGUAUAUAUAGAGGGAUAGUAGUAUAGGAAUAAGCAACGGCUAACUCCGUG
RNAcentral lists this ribosomal RNA (490 nucleotides) under uncultured bacterium. Its description in RNAcentral is "bacterial SSU rRNA". It matches the Rfam family "Bacterial small subunit ribosomal RNA", at positions 33 to 507 of the family's 1533-position model. The record is from RNAcentral.